CAGCCGCCGCGGUAAUACGUAGGUGGCGAGCGUUGUCCGGAAUUAUUGGGCGUAAAGGGAGCGCAGGCGGACAUAUAAGUCCAUCUUAAAAGUGCGGGGCUCAACCCCGUGAGGGGAUGGAAACUGUAUGCCUUGAGUGCAGGAGAGGAAAGCGGAAUUCCCAGUGUAGCGGUGAAAUGCGUAGAUAUUGGGAGGAACACCAGUGGCGAAGGUGGCUUUCUGGACUGUAACUGACGCUGAGGCUCGAAAGCCAGGGGAGCGAACGGGAUUAGAUACCCCAGUAGUCCCUGUCUCUUAUACA
RNAcentral lists this ribosomal RNA (301 nucleotides) under uncultured bacterium. RNAcentral's name for it is "partial 16S ribosomal RNA". It matches the Rfam family "Bacterial small subunit ribosomal RNA", at positions 509 to 809 of the family's 1533-position model. The record is from RNAcentral.